AAAGAGGGUUUUAGGCAAAGGCAGCUGUUCUUCAUCAUCUAUAUUAAGAAAUAGUAGUAUUGCUUUUAUGGACAUGGUUACUUCCUACAGCAGAAAGAAAGAAAGCAAACAAAACCCCGUAUAUUGUUUUGAGAUGUCUAGAAUGCAGAAGAACUGGAGAAUACUUUCUGAUUUUGUUCAGCAUUCAGGAUACUGAUGGCAUGGAAAGCUGUGUUAUCAAAGCCACACACAUGCAAACACAGACUGGAAAGAGGCUUCUUUAGGUGCAUAUGUACUCCAGGUCAAGGCCACAGAUGCAGAUGACCCGACCUAUGGAAACAGUGCCAGAGUCGUUUACAGCAUUCUUCAGGGACAACCUUAUUUCUCUAUUGAUCCCAAGACAGGUGUUAUUAGAACAGCUUUGCCAAACAUGGACAGAGAAGUCAAAGAACAAUAUCAAGUACUCAUCCAAGCCAAGGAUAUGGGAGGACAGCUUGGAGGAUUAGCCGGAACAACAAUAGUCAACAUCACUCUCACCGAUGUCAAUGACAAUCCACCUCGAUUCCCCAAAAGCAUCUUCCACUUGAAAGUUCCUGAGUCUUCCCCUAUUGGUUCAGCUAUUGGAAGAAUAAGAGCUGUGGAUCCUGAUUUUGGACAAAAUGCAGAAAUUGAAUACAAUAUUGUUCCAGGAGAUGGGGGAAAUUUGUUUGACAUCGUCACAGAUGAGGAUACACAAGAGGGAGUCAUCAAAUUGAAAAAGCCUUUAGAUUUUGAAACAAAGAAGGCAUACACUUUCAAAGUUGAGGCUUCCAACCUUCACCUUGACCACCGGUUUCACUCGGCGGGCCCUUUCAAAGACACAGCUACGGUGAAGAUCAGCGUGCUGGACGUAGAUGAGCCACCGGUUUUCAGCAAGCCGCUCUACACCAUGGAGGUUUACGAAGACACUCCGGUAGGGACCAUCAUUGGCGCUGUCACUGCUCAAGACCUGGAUGUAGGCAGCAGUGCUGUUAGGUACUUCAUAGAUUGGAAGAGUGAUGGGGACAGCUACUUUACAAUAGAUGGAAAUGAAGGAACCAUCGCCACUAAUGAAUUACUAGACAGAGAAAGCACUGCGCAGUAUAAUUUCUCCAUAAUUGCGAGUAAAGUUAGUAACCCUUUAUUGACCAGCAAAGUCAAUAUACUGAUUAAUGUCUUAGAUGUAAAUGAAUUUCCUCCAGAAAUAUCUGUGCCAUAUGAGACAGCCGUGUGUGAAAAUGCCAAGCCAGGACAGAUAAUUCAGAUAGUCAGUGCUGCAGACCGAGAUCUUUCACCUGCUGGGCAACAAUUCUCCUUUAGAUUAUCACCUGAGGCUGCUAUCAAACCAAAUUUUACAGUUCGUGACUUCAGAAACAACACAGCUGGGAUUGAAACCCGAAGAAAUGGAUACAGCCGCAGGCAGCAAGAGUUGUAUUUCCUCCCUGUUGUAAUAGAAGACAGCAGCUACCCUGUCCAGAGCAGCACAAACACAAUGACUAUUCGAGUCUGUAGAUGUGACUCUGAUGGCACCAUCCUGUCUUGUAAUGUGGAAGCAAUUUUUCUACCUGUAGGACUUAGCACUGGGGCGUUGAUUGCAAUUCUACUAUGCAUUGUUAUACUCUUAGCCAUAGUUGUACUGUAUGUAGCACUACGAAGGCAGAAGAAAAAAGACACCCUGAUGACCUCUAAAGAAGACAUCAGAGACAACGUCAUCCAUUACGAUGAUGAAGGAGGUGGGGAGGAAGAUACCCAGGCUUUCGACAUCGGGGCUCUGAGAAACCCAAAAGUGAUUGAGGAGAAUAAAAUUCGCAGGGAUAUAAAACCAGACUCUCUCUGUUUACCUCGUCAGAGACCACCCAUGGAAGAUAACACAGACAUAAGGGAUUUCAUUCAUCAAAGGCUACAGGAAAAUGAUGUGGACCCAACUGCCCCACCAUACGAUUCACUGGCCACAUAUGCCUACGAAGGGAGUGGGUCCGUGGCAGAGUCCCUCAGCUCUAUAGACUCUCUCACCACAGAAGCCGACCAGGACUAUGACUAUCUGACAGACUGGGGACCCCGCUUUAAAGUCUUGGCAGACAUGUUUGGCGAAGAAGAGAGUUAUAACCCUGAUAAAGUCACUUAAGGGAGUCGUGGAGGCUAAAAUACAACCGAGAGGGGAGAUUUU
RNAcentral lists this small RNA (2164 nucleotides) under Pan troglodytes (chimpanzee). RNAcentral describes it as "processed transcript". The record is from RNAcentral. Lineage: Eukaryota; Metazoa; Chordata; Mammalia; Primates; Hominidae.